Molecule: ribosomal RNA, 481 nt
Filed under: uncultured bacterium
Lineage: Bacteria
Description: partial 16S ribosomal RNA
Rfam family: Bacterial small subunit ribosomal RNA
Source: RNAcentral
GAUGAACGCUGGCGGCGUGCUUAACACAUGCAAGUCGAACGAAGCACUUUAUUUGAUUUCCUUCGGGACUGAUUAUUUUGUGACUGAGUGGCGGACGGGUGAGUAACUCGUGGGUAACCUGCCUUGUACAGGGGGAUAACAGUUGGAAACGGCUGCUAAUACCGCAUAAGCGCACAGCAUCGCAUGAUGCAGUGUGAAAAACUCCGGUGGUAUAAGAUGGACCCGCGUUGGAUUAGCUAGUUGGUGAGGUAACGGCCCACCAAGGCGACGAUCCAUAGACGACAUGAGAGGGUGACCCGCCACAUUUGGACUGAGACACGGCCCAAACUCCUACGGGAGGCAGCAGUGGGGAAUAUUGCACAAUGGGCGAAAGCCUGAUGCAGCGACGCCGCGUGAGCGAAGAAGUAUUUCGGUAUGUAAAGCUCUAUCAGCAGGGAAGAUAAUGACGGUACCUGACGAAGAAGCACCGGCUAAAUACGUG